UGUGAAAUCCCAAGGCUCAACCUUGGAAUAGCACCCGAAACUGUAGAACUAGAGGGUAGGCGGAGAAAACGGAAUUCCACAAGUAGCGGUGAAAUGCGUAGAUAUGUGGAAGAACAUCGGUGGCGAAGGCGGUUUUCUAGCUUAUUCCUGACGCUGAGGCGCGAAAGCAAGGGGAUCAAACAGGAUUAGAUACCCUGGUAGUCCUUGCCGUAAACUAUGUAUACUUGGUGUAACUGGACUCAACCCUAGUUGUGCCGUAGCUAACGCGUUAAGUAUACCGCCUGGGGAGUACACUCGCAAGGGUGAAACUCAAAAGAAUUGACGGGGACCCGCACAAGCAGUGGAGCAUGUGGUUUAAUUCGAUGCAACGCGAAGAACCUUACCCAGACUUGACAUGCAGAUGACAGCUCUAGAAAUAGAGAUUUCCUUCGGGACAUCUGCACAGGUGCUGCAUGGCUGUCGUCAGCUCGUGCCGUGAGGUGUUGGGUUAAGUCCCGCAACGAGCGCAACCCUUAUCAUUAGUU
Molecule: ribosomal RNA, 524 nt
Filed under: uncultured bacterium
Lineage: Bacteria
Description: bacterial SSU rRNA
Rfam family: Bacterial small subunit ribosomal RNA
Source: RNAcentral